GCUCAUUCAAUGUCUGGAGCAAGCUUUCUGCACUCCACUGCCGGUGCUUUCUGGCUUCAAAAGCAGCUUCGAGACUGAGGAAUAGUAGGCAGGAUUAGAAUAAGGCCCGGGAGUUCUACAACUCUGCUGAAUUUAAAAGGACCAUGAUCUUGGUCAGCUAAACCACACCCGAUGGCCAAGGGGCAGAGGAAAAGAUGGCAGAGUAGAGACUCUUGGACUUACUCAUUUGGAUUUUGGAGUUUUACCUGACUUGGUCAAGCCUCAUGCCAGAUCCAGAUUGUGCCUGCUUCCCUUUCACCUUCCAUCAUGAUUGUAAGUUUCCUGAGGCCUCCCCAGCCAGGAUUCCUGUACAGCCUGUGGAACCAUGAGCCAGGUAAAAAUGGUGCUACCCUUGGAAAUCCAAGAGCAGCUUCAAGAGUCAACUAUACCAGCAAUCCCUAAAGCUGGAGAAUUUAUGCCCAUGGAAAAGUCUGUAGCGUUUUGCAAACCUUGAGGCUGAGGAAUAGACCUAGUUCCUGCAGCAGAUCAAAAUGGUAGCCCCUUUUCUUUCCAUGAAAAGAAUUUCUACGGAGACAG
This 576-nucleotide long non-coding RNA is filed under the name Pan troglodytes (chimpanzee). RNAcentral describes it as "lincRNA". Lineage: Eukaryota; Metazoa; Chordata; Mammalia; Primates; Hominidae. The record is from RNAcentral.